This 3652-nucleotide long non-coding RNA is filed under the name Salmo salar (Atlantic salmon). RNAcentral describes it as "lncRNA (ENSSSAG00000111665.1)". Lineage: Eukaryota; Metazoa; Chordata; Actinopteri; Salmoniformes; Salmonidae. The record is from RNAcentral.
GGUUAGGCUAGCUACAGUACAUUAGGGUUAGCUAGCUACAGUACAUUAGGGUUAGGCUAGCUACAGUACAUUAGGGUUAGGCUAGCUAGCUACAGUACAUUAGGGUUAGGCUAGCUAGCUACAGUACAUUAGGGUUAGGCUAGCUAGCUACAGUACAUUAGGGUCAGGGUUAGCUAGCUACAGUACAUUAGGGUUAGGGUUAGCUAGCUACAGUACAUUAGGGUUAGCUAGCUACAGUACAUUAGGGUUAGGGCUAGCUAGCUACAGUACAUUAGGGUUAGGGCUAGCUAGCUACAGUACAUUAGGGUUAGGGCUAGCUAGCUACAGUUCAUUAGGGUUAGCUAGCUACAGUACAUUAGGGCUAGCUAGCUACAGUACAUUAGGGUCAGGGUUAGCUAGCUACAGUACAUUAGGGUUAGGGCUAGCUAGCUACAGAACAUUAGGGUUAGGGUUAGCUAGCUACAGUACAUUAGGGUUAGCUAGCUACAGUACAUUAGGGUUAGGGCUAGCUAGCUACAGUACAUUAGGGUUAGGGCUAGCUAGCUACAGUACAUUAGAGAAGCUCACCAUUCAUUGUAUUCACGGCGGCAUUUUCUGAGCUUAACUGACCAAGACGCACCUCCAAAUGCCCGAAACCAGUGACAGUUUCUUUCAACCAGUGGCACAUUGGCUUUUUAGGUGAGCGUUGAUACCGCUUUGUGAUAAUAAUGUCCACUCCUCUCCAGAGUAUUGUUCUAGACGUAACGCUGCCGCGCUCCUCUCGAGAGUAUUGUUCUAGACGUAACGCUGCCGUGCUCCUCUCCAGAGUAUUGUUCUAGACGUAACGCUGCAGCGCUCCUCUCCAGAGUAUUGUUCUAGACGUAUCGCUGCCGCGCUCCUCUCCAGAGUAUUGUUCUAGACGUAACGCUGCAGCGCUCCUCUCCAGAGUAUUGUUCUAGACGUAACGCUGCCGCGCUCCUCUCCAGAGUAUUGUUGGAGGCGUAACGCUGCCGCGCUCCUCUCCAGAGUAUUGUUCUAGACGUAACGCCGCCGCGCUCCUCUCCAGAGUAUUGUUGGAGGCGUAACGCUGCAGCGCUCCUCUCCAGAGUAUUGUUGGAGGCGUAACGCUGCCGCGCUCCUCUCCAGAGUAUUGUUCUAGACGUAACGCUGCCGCGCUCCUCUCCAGAGUAUUGUUGGAGGCGUAACGCUGCCGCGCUCCUCUCCAGAGUAUUGUUGGAGGCGUAACGCUGCAGCGCUCCUCUCCAGAGUAUUGUUCUAGACGUAACGCUGCAGCGCUCCUCUCCAGAGUAUUGUUGGAGACGUAACGCUGCAGCGCUCCUCUCCAGAGUAUUGUUGGAGGCGUAACGCUGCCGCGCUCCUCUCCAGAGUAUUGUUGGAGGCGUAACGCCGCCGCGCUCCUCUCCAGAGUAUUGUUCUAGACUUAACGCUGCCGCGCUCCUCUCCAGAGUAUUGUUGGAGACGUAACGCUGCCGCGCUCCUCUCCAGAGUAUUGUUGGAGGCGUAACGCCGCCGCGCUCCUCUCCAGAGUAUUGUUCUAGACGUAACGCUGCCGCGCUCCUCUCCAGAGUAUUGUUCUAGACGUAACCCCGCCGCGCUCCUCUCCAGAGUAUUGUUGGAGGCGUAACGCUGCCGCGCUCCUCUCCAGAGUAUUGUUCUAGACGUAACGCUGCCGCGCUCCUCUCCAGAGUAUUGUUGGAGGCGUAACGCUGCAGCGCUCCUCUCCAGAGUAUUGUUCUAGACGUAACGCUGCCGCGCUCCUCUCCAGAGUAUUGUUGGAGGCGUAACGCCUCACCUCAUUGUAGACAAUCACAACUGUUGUCUUGGAGUUUCACCUCAUUGAUCAGUGGUUUCAGUUUGUAUCCUUCAAUUUGACAAGCUGAUCAUGGCGAAAUGGAAAAUACUAUUUCCCGCUGUGUAAACAUUACAAAUCGGCUGAAGAGCUCCUGAUAAAGUUGGGUAGCUGAUAUUCAGAGCUUAAAUAGCCAAGUUGAUUAGUCCUGUUUUCCAAAUGGUGGCCUACCACAUGGAUGGGCGUUCAUAAAGUUCCAUUGAGGCCGACAUGGUAGGCUGCACCCCAGUAAGCACGAGGGAAAGUCUUUUAUUGGUCCUGGCCAGACCUCGUUGUUGUUGUUGGUGUUUUACAGGUGGUAGGCUUAGCACAGAUAGGCAUUCAUACAAUUACAUUUAGGCUACGCUAUAGGCUACGCUAUAUAGGCUCCACUAUAGGCUCCGCUAUAGGCUACGCUAUAGGCUACAAUAUAGGCUACGCUAUAGGCUACGCUAUAGGCUCCGCUAUAGGCAACACUAUAGGCUACGCUAUAGGCAACGCUAUAGGCUACGCUAUAGGCUACGCUAUAGGCAACGCUAUAGGCUAUGCUAUAGGCAACGCUAUCGUCUACGCUAUAGGCUACGCUAUAGGCUACACUAUAGGCUACGCUAUAGGCUACGCUAUAGGCUACGCUGUAGGCAACGCUAUAGGCUACGCUAUAGGCUACGCUAUAGGCUACGCUAUAUAGGCUACGCUAUAGGCUACGCUAUAGGCAACGCUAUAGGCUACGCUAUAGGCUACGCUAUAGGCUACGCUAUAGGCUCCACUAUAGGCUACGCUAUAGGCUACGCUAUAGGCUCCGCUAUAGGCUACGCUGUAGGCAACGCUAUAGGCUACGCUAUAUAGGCUACGCUGUAGGCAACGCUAUAGGCUACAAUAUAGGCUACGCUAUAGGCUACGCUAUAGGCAUUUUUUUACAUUUUACAUUUUAGUCAUUUAGCAGACGCUCUUAUCCAGAGCGACUUACAAAUUGGUGCAUUCACCUAUAAUAUCCAGUGGAACAACCACUUUACAAUAGUGCAUCUAAAUCUUUAUAGGCUACGCUAUAGGCUCCGCUAUAGGCUACGCUAUAGGCUACGCUAUAGGCUCCGCUAUAGGCAACGCUAUAGGCUACGCUAUAGGCAACGCUAUAGGCUACGCUAUAGGCUACGCUAUAGGCUACGCUAUAGGCUCCGCUAUAGGCAACGCUAUAGGCUACGCUAUAGGCUACGCUAUAGGCAACGCUAUAGGCUACGCUAUAGGCAACGCUAUAGGCUACGCUAUAGGCUACGCUAUAGGCAACGCUAUAGGCUACGCUAUAGGCAACGCUAUAGGCUCCGCUAUAGGCAACGCUAUAGGCUACGCUAUAGGCUCCACCUCAGUUAGCAGGGACAGAUGCCUGUGUUUGGUUCAGGUCUGGAUCAUCCCUGAUUUGGCACAAACAGAUGUUACAAAUAUUUAAUUCAUAGACUUUCUUUCAGAACUGAAAAUCAACCUGAUUUCAACUGGUGGUCGUUGGGAAAGGAGGACCAAAAUGCAGCAGGAUUGUGGAUGUUGACGUUUUAUUUACUCCAAAUAUGAACACCAAAAUAACAAACAACGAACUCACGAUCAACACAACAGUCUUGUAAGGCUCACUCACGCUAGACGAGAAACAGGCAAAACAAGAAACAAUCCCCCACAAAUGACAAACACCCCCUAAUAUAUAGGACUCUCAAUCAAAGGCAAAUAGACAACACCUGUCUUCAAUUGAGAGUCCCCACCCCAACUAACCAAACAUAGAACCAGACUCACCAGACCAAACAUAGAAAUACAUGAAUACAAAAACAGUGCCCAAAAACCCCC